UGUGGGAGGGGGCUUGCCCCCGAUAGCGGUGUGUCAGUCAAGUUUCUUUAACUGAACCACCGCUAUCGGGGGCAAGCCCCCUCCCACA
This 88-nucleotide unclassified non-coding RNA is filed under the name Pseudomonas grimontii. The record is from RNAcentral. Lineage: Bacteria; Pseudomonadati; Pseudomonadota; Gammaproteobacteria; Pseudomonadales; Pseudomonadaceae.